RNAcentral lists this ribosomal RNA (253 nucleotides) under uncultured bacterium. Its description in RNAcentral is "partial 16S ribosomal RNA". It matches the Rfam family "Bacterial small subunit ribosomal RNA", at positions 524 to 776 of the family's 1533-position model. The record is from RNAcentral.
UACAGAGGUCCCAAGCGUUGUUCGGAUUCAUUGGGCGUAAAGGGUGCGUAGGUGGCGCCGUAAGUCGGGUGUGAAAUUUCGGAGCUUAACUCCGAAACUGCAUUCGAUACUGCGGUGCUUGAGGGCAGUAGAGGGUGGUGGAAUUCCGGGUGUAGUGGUGAAAUGCGUAGAUAUCCGGAGGAACACCAGUGGCGAAAGCGGCCACCUGGACUGCACCUGACGCUGACACGCGAAAGCUAGGGGAGCGAACGGG